GAUACUGCGUAAGUUAGAAGCUACUACCGUUCAAAAACUAUAAAAGAGACCCUGCGUGUGUUAGAAGCCACCACCGUAAAAAUUACAGAAGCAAAAGCGCUCACCGCCUUUGUACGCUACUCCGCCGGAUCGCUGCCACUAACUCUCCCGGCCAGUAUGUCCGACCAAAACCCACAAACCUUAAAUCAAUUUUCGCCGCCGAUCAAUCUGCCCAAGUAGCUUGGUAUUUUUUCGAAGGAAAAUUCAAAAAACUUGAUUAUCUCUUUGAUUUAAGAAAAUUUAACUGCUACUGGUUGUUGAUUCUAUCUGCUCUAGUUGUAUUACUGCUCUUCCCAUUAAAAAAGAAAGAAGGAAAGUUUGAGAACUCUCUAUUGUUAGAUUUUCAUGUUCUUUUUUUUUUAAAAAAUAAAAUUCAAGAACUUGCUUUUUGAAGUUACAUGUUAUUGUUACAUGUAAAAUUCGAGAACAAAUUUUCCCGGUCAUCUCGAAGGGAAUUCUUGGAACUCAGCCAUUAGCGUUUUGAGAAAACAAAUCAAGAACUUUGUUGGUUGACUAAUAACUCAUGUUAUUCAGAUAUUGCUUUAAUUUAUUUUACAAUUUGGCCAAGCAUGGUAAAUGCAAGUGAUGAACUAGGUCAGAAAUAUUGUUAUGUGUUUUACGUAUGGUCAUCAAUUCUCAUCAACUUAUAUUGAACUUAAUGCAAAAUAAUUAGAAUCCAUGUUCCAAGUUGCUUCAUGUUAUUCAGGUCUUCAGUUUAUUUUAUAUAGUUAGUCUUAACCUAUUCUCUUGGUUAUAGCAAUUGGCUUGUUAAUGUAGCCACUCGAAUGGGAAAAGAGGGGCUGAUUCUGAUGGAUUUGUUGCAAAUUUUGUGGAAAGCGAGCAAAUUAUCCAGUUGAAAGGGUAUACAAUAUCAUUGUUCAGGUACACUUGUUUGAAGUUUGAUUAUGACUUUUUUCUACACCAACAAUCUCGUUGCUCAUGAAAUGCUCUUUUAUACAUAUGUAGAUAACUGAGGGGGAUACUUAAAAUUCUGUCACAUUAGAGUUUAUUGUUGAAUAGAUAUUGUUGUGAUAAAAUGCUUAAACUAAUAACUCUUGUAACUUGUAUUACUUUCUCUGUGUGCAAGUGGUGUGUGUGUUCCCUCUCUUUUAAUGAUAGAAGAGGGGUUGAUAAAAAAAAAAGAAGAAGCAGGAGUCGAUAGUACUAGGGUGGAGAACAUGAUGUUAUCGGAACAAAAACAGGUUUUGGUGUUUGGACCAUUCUAUAUAGAAACUUCUAAUGUAUUGCAUUUUUUGUUUGAUUUAUCCGAGUUUUAUCGUGAACUUACUGAUAAAAGAACUCUGUUCAAUUCUCAGUACAGGACCUCUCAGAUGCAAUGCACAUUUUGGUACAGCAGAGGGCAAUAAAACUGAAUUUUCUGCCUGAUUAGCACAUAUUUCAUUUGCUAGAACUUUCAUUAGUUACUUCCCUCAGGUAUAUAACUCCCUCUGUCAAAAAGGAAAAGAUUGUAUCCACGAAGGGAGUAGCACUUGGACUAUGAAGCAGUAGAAAAUAUCUCGCAUUAAUACCAUGAUAAGAAAAUAGACCUUUGGGCCUAACUCAACCCAAAAUAUAGCUCGGAGGUGAGAAUUUCCCCAAGGCCGUAUAACGAGAUCAAGUCCCCCAUCCUACCACCAUAUAGGACAACAAUAUGGAAAAAUGAAUCUUUUGGCUAGCAGAGGAAGGGAAGGUUGGGAAAUUCACAAUCUUAAAUGAAAUGCUUGCUUUGCUGAAACAUCACAUAUUAGAAUGCUUCGUAGUUUAUGUGAUUGAUUUAAGCGCACUUGUUCAUUUUUUCACUUUUUGUUGAGAUAUUCUGUUAUUUCAUUAAAAGUUUUGUGUUUUUGUUGGUCAGAGGGUCAAUUCCAUUACUAUGGAAUCAGAUUGUUGAUUUGACAUAUAAGUACAAGUUUGAGAUGGUGAGAAUUGUAGAAGCAGUUGAGUAGCACUCUUUUCUUCUUUUAGUUUCUUGAUUCUAUGACACACUUAAUGGCCCUCCACUCUUGAUGACUCUGUUGAGUAACAUUCUCCAGCCUUGAGUUGUUGAGCGACAUUACUGGAAUCUGAGAAAAAAGUACGGAAAUAUUCUAUCCAUUGAUCUUGUCAAUAAGCAUGGAGGAGGAGGACGAGGAGGAGGACGCCUAAGUGAAAAGUUUGCAAAUGCAAUGCAACAUGUAAUUGCUGCUAAUGUGAAGAUUUCUGCAGAUACUUGCACUUCAAUAUUAAGCACAUAUGCGGCCAUGUUCUUUUUGAACUCCUUUCUAUCUUCUAUGAUCAAAUUGAAGAUCUUUUCAUUAAAAAAUAGGUAUAUCUCAUCCAAGUGUAGAUAUAUUUAUAAACACACACACGUAUUUACUAUCUUGUAUAGAAUUUCAGUUUCCUCAACCCCUUGCUAGUCGUAAAUAAUGUGGGAUUACAAAAAAAUAUUCUUUUAAUUCUGAAUCUCAUCUUCCUGGAGAGGAUGAUUGUGGAGCUGGGAUGUGCGUGCACCCAUUCUAGCACAAAGCCAUAGGGCCAGGUUUGGUCUGUAAAUCAAGGAGGGUUUGGUGGAUUAACUGUAAAGAAUUUUGAACUGUUCUUGUUACUCUUUAUUCUUGAGGUCAAACUAGUUAAACCUGCCUUACCAAGAACUAGUCAAGCAAUCCAGUCUAAUGCAGCAUUUGUGCAAUUGAAGUCACUGUCACGACUUUUAUGUUACUAUGUCAUAGAAGAAACUAUUAGAUACAAAUAAGUGAAACAGAAUUAUCAUUUCAUGUUAUACAUCUCUAUAGCAAAAGGUUAAUGCCAAAACACCUGUAUGCAUGCAGAGUCAGCAGCACUAGCAGUGAGGAGAGAGCUCUUUCUCUUGCUUUUUUUAAAAUUGGGAAGAAACUGAAAAGCUAAACAUAUAGCAGACCGAGUCAGAAUAUUAUGAGAAAGAGAAAAUGAGAAAGAGAUAAGCCAAAUUAACAAUUAGUUGCAUGGUAUUGUUUAGAGACUCUAAAUUUGCAUCCAUCAUAAAGUAAUUAUUUCUCUUUUGGUUGUUUGUAAAGCAAGGAGGAACAGAUACGCUUCCUCUACUACAUCUGUUUCUAUAGUAUCUAAUUGUUGUUACACCUGAAGGCAUGGUGCUUUCGAUGCUGAAGAAACUAUUAUCUCAAACCCCAACCUUGACAAAAGCUUCUAACUCUGUGAGAUUUUUCUUAAUAUCUGUGUUAAAGCUUCUAUGAUGGAUAAAUAUUAAGCUUCUUUACCUUGACCUGUUUAUUCUUGUACCUUAAAAACUAUUUGCAGUGUGGGCUAACCAUGGAGAUGAUAUACGCAUCCCGUAUUCUGGUACUCCAGCUUUAAAGGGAGAUUUUGUCAGGCAACAACUUUCUUGUUCUGCUAAAAGAAGAUUAAAUGAAGGCUGCAUUAGUGCAAAGCAUAUUUUCGAAGAGUGCAAUAAUAUAAAUAUAUACGUAGUAGGAUUCAAAACCCUGACAGUUCCUAAAUUAACGAACAUUAUAUAACCAUCAUUGACAGUGGUACUAGUUUUUGGCCUACUACAUUCAUAUCAAGAGUAAGAAUCUGGGAUUGGAUCUUUAAAUGCUAACUGCAUAAUUCCAUGAUAAUCUAUCUCUACUACAUUCACAUAUCAAGAGUAAGAAUUUGGGACUGGAUCUUUAAAUGCUUGCUGCACAACUCCAUUCAUAAUCUAUCUCAAGAUUAUGAUGGAUAUAACAUACAACUAAAAAUGUUGUACUCUACAAAUUGAUAUUAUGACCUCAAGCUUUUUCUUUCGUCGAUCAAUGUCACUAUAAUAUCUACAUUGUUGUUUGAUAUGUAGAUGUGGUCACAGAACAUCCCAGGGGGGUUUCGCUGACAGCUGGAAUGCCCUAACACGAUACUACUUGAGCAAUUUUGUCGGUAGUACUAAAUAGGUACUUAUGCUUCUUACCAGCAUUUAGUUGUUACCUAGUUUUGUACAUUAUAUGAAGUUGGUAGCGUUCUUUAUGCUCUGUCACUUGCAACUUUCAUACUACUCUGCCAGUAGAAAUUUUGGAAAGCAUUCUUUAAGUAGUACUAAGCUUCAUGUAUGCGAGCCAUCAACGAAGUAUUAACUAAACCUAGUAUUAUCAUUUGUAGUGUGCUGCCAUUUUUUUUUAUUAGUUUCUUGUAGUGGGUGGGUAAGGUUUGGGGGGUGGGGGAGAACAAAUUGUGGAAGGUUGGUUAGUGGUGUUAUGCCAUUGUGUAGUUUUAUCUCUUUCUUUUCUCUUAGGCUACUUUUGGAAAUGUGGGUAGGAAUUCAGUUGUUGAAUUAUGAGAUUAGGAAAAAGAGGUGCAGGGCCUAGAGUUGCAAAUCGACACUUGUACUUCCUACCCCUCAGCCAAGAAGCUGACUGGAGAGUGCACUGUUAGGAUAGAGAUUCGAUCUUCUCAGGAUAUUCUUUGUGGAAAAGUGCUCUGAAAAGCAUGAUCCCGAAUUCAGAUUCCUCAGUCAGAUCGGAAGUUCAAGUCGGUCAAUUGAUGGCUCUCUUGCUCAUCGCAGUCUGUGUAAACUGGUAAAUACAGAAACUCUUCACAACCCCUUUCAUCUAAUGUUUUACUUACAGAAGAUGCUUUUCUGAACAACAAAUUCAGUGCUUUCUCUAGUUCCAGUUAUAAAUCUGACUGCUGGUCAGGUUCAGGAUGGGAUGAUCAGUCAUUUAGGUGAUGUCACUUCAAAAAGCCAACAAGUUAAUGUGUGAACACCAGACCCGUCCAUAGAAUCGCCUUGAAGAUGAUUAUAGUGUUGAAUUCGAAGUAGCUAAUGAUGUUAACCAGGCCUUAAAUUAAAUGUUUCCUAGAAGCAAGGAAAUAUAUUUUGAGAACUUCUCCCGGUGCAAAAUUCAGAGCAAGGCAUCGCAGAGGUCAGAAUUUUUGUUGGAGAUUCGGAGGAAAAAGCUUAAUUAACCAAUUAGACAUUCUUGAUGAAGAUGAUCAUCUUAUGGAUUUCGUUGUACAGACUAAAAAUUAUGGCUCUGACCAGCCAUUAUUGUCCAGACCAUCUCCUCUGCCAUUAGAUCCUUUGCUCGAGUCUGGAUGAAGAUGAUCAUCUUAUGGAUUUCGUUUUACAGACUAAAAAUUAUGGCUCUGACCAGCCAUUUUUUGUCCAGACCGUCUCCUCUGCCAUUAGAUCCUUGGCUCGAGACCAGUUUUCAAGAUGUUAUUCUUACAUCUCUGAAAAUGGGAUUGGAACUUCUGUUGAACAUGAAGUUGUUUUCAAGUAUAAUUUUGGAAAGAACGGAACAUAGUCUCUUGGUCCCUGCCAUAAAUUAUUUGGAAAAAGAGGACUGCUUGUUCCCAAAUCCUGCAAAGUUUGAUCUCAAUUUUUAUGCUUUUUCUAGAAAGGAUAUAGCCAGUAUAGGGGGACAUGAUCCAUGGGAUGUUUUGGUUCAGGUUCUUCUGAAUUCUAUUAUGAUGGAAAUGAUUUGAUACAUGUAUUCUCGUGGUGAAGAGAAUGGAUGGGAACUCACAUAAAUGAUUUGAUACAUGUAUUAUGAUGGAAAUGAUUUGAUACAUGUCAAGAUUAUUUGAUAACACGGGCAAUGCUCCCCUCUAGGGUGGAUGGGAACUCACAUAAAUGGAUUGAUGUUGGAAAUAGAGGCGAAACAGGUAAGCUACAGGGAAGAAGAUGAGUAGAAGAAGCCAUUGCUUUUCGAUUUUACCUAGAGAAAAAGAAGUUCUUUGCCACGAGUGAGUCUACAAGAAAGGCAGCAGGAAAUAACAAUAUUAAGAUUGUUCACGAUGUGCCUCUCAUGCCUGGUAAUUUGUGCUUGAGUGCUUUGACCAUGCUUUUGCAGGUCAUUCCUGAUGAAAUUGGUUACCAAUUACUACACAACUACACUGACCAAAUUUAAAACGUGGGAUGGAUCUGCAACAUUUAUUUUCAAGCUUCAAGAUUAUUUACCAGAUCAAUCUUAGAAGGUUGAGUCUAGCAGAAACCCGGGAACAACCUCUCUACCUCAAAGGUUGGGGUAUGGUCUGAGUACAUUCUAUCUCCAGACCCCACUUGUGGGGUUACACUGGUGUUUGCUGCUCUUCAAGGUUGUGUCUAAGAAACAGUUGCUUUGGAACUCAAGCUUAGUAUACUUUUACUACUCAAGCGGGCUCGAUUUAGACUUGAACUUGAAAAGUCACAAUUUUAUUGGUCGUGACAGACGAAGCUUGAAAUUAUCCCUGCAGUGCAGAUAUCUGGUUUGCGAUCAUCACAUUGAAAGAUAAUCUGGAUCUGGAGCACGAUACAUGUAUACAGAUUUAAUGAAGAAUUGUACGUACCAAAUGUAAUAUUAGCUAGAAUGUAAAGAAAUGCUAAGAUAAUGACUGUAACAUCAUUUAACUGUUGAGAUGAUUAAAUUUGUAUGUUCCACCUGUGA
Non-coding RNA from Solanum lycopersicum (tomato), 6416 nucleotides. The record is from RefSeq and is a predicted model, not a curated record. Lineage: Eukaryota; Viridiplantae; Streptophyta; Magnoliopsida; Solanales; Solanaceae.